UUCACAGACUUUGAUGCUCUCCACCUGCCUCUUCAUGGAUAUAUACGCUGACCUCUGCACUUCAUUUGGACUUCCUGUUUGGAUUGCAUCUUUACUCCAUGCUACCAAACGCCUUAGGAGUGACCAUGCUCGUCGUAAGAAGGUUUAUCGACUUCUGCAGAGAAAGCUGAACCUUCACAGGGUUGGUGUUAGGAAGGGGAGUCAGACUCAGCCCACCUAUGUCUUCCCAGAAGAGGUGAAGAUGUUGGUGCGCUCUGUCUUCCCAAAGGACAUCUGUGAUCACCCAAACCCCCGCCACAGUAAUGUGGUGUACAUCACUGUGGAGGAUCUCCAUGCUCUUGAAAUCUGCUGAAUUGUGUGCCAUGUUGGAUUUAUAAGGCACAAAUUAAAAUGAUUAAGUUUGUUUGUCCUGCUUUGUUGUUGAAGAUUUAGUUACUGUUACCUUUUUAAGGUUUACGAUUCUUUACUGGCACUUUAUGUAGAGUCUGACAAUACAUUACCAUUGUUACUUGCCUAAAGUCUUACUGUUCUGUUCUGAUUCAUACAUCUUGUUGAGCUCAAUAAAAUUUUGUGAAAACGUCAUUAAAUUUUUGAUUAAAAUGUGUAAGUUCAUCUCGUCAUAAAAUGCAUUCGUUGUACGGAUGUCACUGAUACACUCAACAGUGUUAUUUGGUUACAUCUGAAGUGGCCAUGUUGUAGAGGAGGGGUUCUCAGUCCUGGUCCCGGAGUGCUGGUAUCUUGCAUGCUUUAGUUGUUUCUCUGCUUCAACACACUUGAUUUCAAUCGGCAGGUGAUUCUGCAGAGCCUGAUGAGCUGCUGAACAGGUGAUUCAACCACUAAAUCAAGUGUGUUGGAGCAGAAAAACCACUAAAAUGUGGUGGAUACUGGUUCUCCAGGCCCAGAAUUGAAUAGACCUGCUGUAGACACUAAGGAAGGCUGGGAGACAUCUCAGCUGGUAAAUUAAGGAGUUAAUUGGGUGUUAAAAGCAAGUCAAAACAGCCUAGUUCCCCUUUAAAAAGCAAUCCAUUAGGUCAAGGAAAUGCACAAGUAAAAAAAAAAAACAUUUUUAUGUGAAAACAUGUUUAGAUCUGGCAGUGCUGUUGCCAGUUCAUUCUUAAAAAGAACACAUGUCAACUGUACAGUUUUUGCACUUUUGUACGUUAGUCUAAAUGAGCCUCAAAAAACAAGUAAAACAACCAGAUACUCAACCAGACCAGCAUUCACCUUCACUUCAUUAACAGUCUUAGCUAAAUCUAACUACAGUCCAUGUAGAACUAUAUGCAAACUAAGCAAACCAUUAAGGAGGCUAAAAAAAUAUGCUACUAAAAUGACUGCAGUUGUGUUCAGCCUAUGUUAACUACACCAUGUUAUACACAGGCUGCAUUCAGGUUCCAUGAAAAGCAUCAAACAGAACCAUCCUUUCAUUAAAAUUAAGUAUCAAAUGUGUAUUUUUGACUCAAGAUGUGAUGGCUCUAAGAGAUUAAUCUGUACAGUUUAUGAAACCAUAAUCUAUGUGGUGAAUGUACAAAUAAAGAAAGGUGGGAGUCACACUAGGUGCGCACAGCGUCCCCUGGUCCCCUCCUCCUCCCCCUCCCCCUUGUCUGGAACUUUACCUCACCAGUCUGAAUCAGCCACCCUGUCCGUAACAAGUCCGGACCUGUUACUAGGGGCUUCGUCCGGAUAAAUUCCGGAACAUGUUAUCCGGAUGUUUGUAUUCAGACACAAAGGUCUUACGGACAGAGUCCGGAACAUUUCCGUUUUUCAUGGCCUGUCUGAAGGGGGCUUUAGGGUGCUACACAAAAGAGAGAUGGUUUAUGUUUAUGUAUUUAGCAGACGCUUUUCUCCAGAGCGACUUACAAGUGAUAAUCGGCAUGUUGCCCUUGAGGCUGACAACAACAAUAACAAAAAAACAAUAGGGUUCCCUGCCCUUUGGGCUUGGAACCCUAACAACUUGACAUCAAUCAUGGAGAGGAGGGAACAAAGGAGUGGACGGUAGAGAGGAGGGAUGGGUGAAGGGAAGGUGCUAGUUAAGAAGAUGCUCUCUGAAGAGCAGGGUCUUCAGGAGUUUCUUGAAAAUUGAAAAGGAAGCCCCUGUUCUGGUAGUGCUUGAAAGGUCAUUCCACAUUUGUGGAACAAUGCAUGAGAAGAGUCUGGAUUGUCCUGAGCGUGGUGUAGGCACUGCUAGCCGACGAUCCUGUGAUGACCGGAGCUGCCGGGCCGAGAUGUAAGACGUAUGGUAUAAUCUAUUGAAUAAGGCGCAAAUGAAACUGGUAUCAACCGACCACAGACUAAUUCAAUUUAAUAUCUAUCACAGAACAUAACUUACACUGCAUAGUUGCACUGGCACUGUAGCUACCCUGGUGCAGACCUGUACUCGGUUAUUUUAGCACCACAUUAUUGCAGUAACUUCAUGAGCUUGGGAACAACAAUAAUUUCAUGUGAAAAUGAUGGUGUGUGAAGGAUUAUAAAUCAGCAUAACAUGAGCUACUGGGAAGUUCAGGAGAUUUUAUUUGACAUGAGAGCAGAUUAGCCGUUAGCUCAUCAGUCUUGAAUGAGAUGAAGUUGAGUCACCAAAGUAAAGUGAUCUACAGUAAAAUAUAAAUUAUUGAAAACUUUCACAAAAUGAUGAAUGUGGUAGUUUAGCCCUUGAUGAAUCCUGGGAGGACUCAGUCAGGCACGUGCAGAGGAAGGGGUGGGGGGUGGGGGUGGGGGGUGUUUGAGCACCUUCCCCUUUUGUCCGAAGUGCCCAAAGUGCCCUUUUUUUGGUCUUCUGUCAGAUAUUACCAUCCAAAACUGUCGUACUUGGAUACAGGUCAGGCACUAGGACCAUGUGGAGGCAGCCUCCUCAAGCUGAACCCUUAGACCCGCCCACAAGCUCACUGAUUAGCUCUGCCGCGUCAUGCCGACGUGUGAUUGCCUGUCCCUGCUGUCACUCUAAAUCUCUCGCCAUGGAGACGACUGAAACCGGUGUUUUGCUUGUCGGCAGGGGUCUGCUCUCUAGCUGUGAGUUUGUGUGUUGAGCUGAGUCAGCAUGUCUGAGACAAGAGGACAUGAGAGAUUCUCCGCUUGAUAACUUCUAAAUAGCUGAUCGAAAUAAAGUAAUUCAAACGUUUUUUAAAAGCACAUAAGACGAGCUUUCCAACGAGGUAUUACAUGAUGUAAUUGUACAAAAGACUCUACAAGUUAUUUAGGUUAGAAGUAGUUCAAGUGGGAAUGUUAAGUUCUGAUGUUUGUAAGUUGUGACUGCAUUUUGGGCCUUAAGGCUCACGUAGUGCUCUGGC
Molecule: long non-coding RNA, 3281 nt
Organism: Nothobranchius furzeri (turquoise killifish)
Lineage: Eukaryota; Metazoa; Chordata; Actinopteri; Cyprinodontiformes; Nothobranchiidae
Source: Ensembl